RNAcentral lists this ribosomal RNA (468 nucleotides) under uncultured bacterium. Its description in RNAcentral is "partial 16S ribosomal RNA". It matches the Rfam family "Bacterial small subunit ribosomal RNA", at positions 28 to 507 of the family's 1533-position model. The record is from RNAcentral.
GACGAACGCUGGCGGCGUGCUUAACACAUGCAAGUCGAACGGAAAGGCCCUGCUUUUGUUGGGUGCUCGUGUGGCGAACGGGUGAGUAACACGUGAGUGACCUGCCCUUGACUUUGUGAUAACUUCAGGAAACUGGGGCUAAUACCGGAUAUGAGCUCCUGCUGCAUGGUGGGGGUUGGAAAGUUUCGGCGGUUUGGGAUGGACUCGCGGGUUAUCGGCUUGUUGGUGAGGUAGUGGCUUACCAAGGCUUUGACGGGUAGCCGGCCUGAGAGGGUGGCCGGCCACAGUGGGACUGAGAUACGGACCAGACUCCUACGGGAGGCAGCAGGGGGGAAUAUUGCACAAUGGGGGGAAGCGUGAGGCAGCAACGCCGCGUGCGGGAUGACGGGUUUCGGGUGGUAAACCGCUUUCGCAUGUGACGAAGAGUGAGUGACGGUAAUGGGUAAAGAAGCACCGGCUAACUACGUG